GAUGAAGAACGCAGCGAAAUGCGAUGAGUAAUGUGAAUUGCAGAAUUCAGUGAAUCAUCGAAUCUUUGAACGCACAUUGCGCCCGCCAGUAUUCUGGCGGGCAUGCCUGUUCGAGCGUCAUUUCAACCAUCAAGCCCCAGGCUUGUGUUGGGGACCUGCGGCUGCCGCAGGCCCUGAAAACCAGUGGCGGGCUCGCUGUCACACCGGGCGUAGUAGAUUUUAUCUCGCUCAGGGCGUGCUGCGGGUCCCGGCCGUUAAAAGCCUUUUUUUACCCAAGGUUGACCUCGGAUCAGGUAGGAAGACCCGCUGAACUUAAGCAUAUCAAUAAGCGGAGGA
This 336-nucleotide unclassified non-coding RNA is filed under the name soil metagenome. RNAcentral's name for it is "partial contains 5.8S ribosomal RNA, internal transcribed spacer 2, and large subunit ribosomal RNA". The stretch from base 1 to 120 matches the Rfam family "5.8S ribosomal RNA", at positions 35 to 154 of the family's 154-position model. The record is from RNAcentral.